Non-coding RNA from Leopardus geoffroyi (Geoffroy's cat), 1769 nucleotides. Lineage: Eukaryota; Metazoa; Chordata; Mammalia; Carnivora; Felidae. The record is from the annotation of a RefSeq genome assembly.
UUGGUUGCAGAAGCAGGAACACCUCCAGAUCCAGUUGGUGACUCUCACGCCCCAGGGUUUAGUUUAGUCUAUCUUAUGGUGAAAUGUCCUGGUCAGCAGGGCAAAGUGUCCUGAAGAGGCUACUUGUCACUGUGCUGGGACUUUUGUGCACCCAGGUUUGCUGUGUGACAGGAUUGAUGGUGAAGCAGAGUCCCCCAGAACUGAGUCUCCAGGAGGGACUCAGCUGCACGCUGCAGUGCAAUUUUUCCACCUCUGUGACCAGGGUGCAGUGGUUUCGCCAAAAUCCUGGGGGCCACCUCAUCCACCUGUUUUACAUUCCUUCCGGGACAAAGCAGAAUGGAAGAUUACGCUCUACGACCGUGGUUGAGGAUCUCCGCAGCUUGCUCUACAUUUCCUCCCUCCGCACCACAGACUCAGCCAUUUAUUUCUGCGCUGGGGCGGAGUCACAGUGCUCCCCAGGCACCUGCAGCCUGUGCACAAACCCUCAGCACGACUUGGCUCCUCCUCCAGCCGCAGUCAGAUCCAGAAGCCCACCACACGGCAUUGGCACGGCUUAAUAUUCCUGACUAUAUCGCUGGAGUUCAAACCACAGGCACUUUUAGGUCCUACAGAUUUGAGACUUUUUGGUCUUUAUCUUCCCUUCUCAACCUGGGAUCUCUUUUUCUGGACUUAAACCUCUGACUUGGAACAUGAGUAGCUAAUGAGAAGACAGACUUAAAAUGAAUAGUUAAGCCCAAUAUGCGGAAUUCCAAGAGGGAAAAAAGUGAAAGGAAUACAAAGAAAAAAAAAUCACUCCAAUAAAGAUGUUAUUAGAGAAGGAUCCAGCUUAGUUGGGUGUCUCAAGAGUACAAACCUGCCUCAAUCCAAUGUGUCUUAGUAGACAAUUGCAAAUGGCUGCAUCCCAUCCCGAUGAGGGAGCAAAAGGCAAGCUGGGGGCAAAGCACAAGCUAACAUCCUGCAACCCCUCCCCAUCCCCAGGUGGGAUGUGUGUGAUAUUCCUCAGGCACUCCUGGCUGCCCAAGAACAAAGGAAGGGGAAAAGCAAAUGGUUAACUGAUAGAGAUCACAGCCAUGCAAGACAUGUUUCCAUGUUUGCAACUGUGUUAAUGAUUUAUAAGGGAAAAAAAGCAACCUUCAGAAACCUACAGACUCAAUUUCCUGGAGCCCUAACAUCACCCUUCCCUCCAUAGGAUAGAAAAUCUUUAUAUAAUCAGUCACGCCUCACAACCCCGGGCAGCUCUUUCUGCCCACAGGUCCUGUCCCCAUGCUAUAAUAAAAAGACCUUUUAUUUAUUUAUUUAUUUAUUUAUUUAUUGGCACUGAAAAUGUCUCAAGAGAUCUUUCUUGCCCAUUGGCUCCGGACCCCUACUUCAAACCACACCACUACUGGUCCGGCAAAGCAAACAAAAAAAAUUUCUUUCUGAAUGUUCAUAUAUGAACUUGGUCACUGAACACAAAACAAAUUUAUCCUCUUAUAGUUUGGGAUGCCAGAAGUCUGAAAUCAUUUUCUCUGUCUAGUCAAGGUCUCAGCAGGGUGGAGCCCUUCUAGAGGCUCAAGAGAAAGAAUCCAUUUCCUGUUCUAGCUUCUGGAGACCAGCUGGAUUCCCUGGCCCAUGACCCUUUCUUGAAUGAUUCCAGCUUCUACCACUGAUGGGGUUUUGAGGUGAUUGUGGGGUUGGGAGCCGAUGGCCAAGAAAGAAUUCUUGAAUACGUCUUUGGUGCAAAAAGGUGAUUUUAUUAAAGCACGGAGACAGGACCCAUGGGCAGAAAG